GCCUAGGAAAUUGCCUUGAUGUGGGGAGUAACCAUUGGAACGAUGGCUAAUACCGCAUAAUGCCUACGGGCCGAAAGAAGGGGGACCGUUCGGGCCUCUCGCGUCAAGAUAUGCCUAGGUGGGAUUAGCUAGUUGGUGAGGUAAUGGCUCACCAAGGCGACGAUCCCUAGCUGGUCUGAGAGGAUGAUCAGCCACACUGGAACUGAGACACGGUCCAGACUCCUACGGGAGGCAGCAGUGGGGAAUAUUGCACAAUGGGCGAAAGCCUGAUGCAGCCAUGCCGCGUGUAUGAAGAAGGCC
Molecule: ribosomal RNA, 300 nt
Filed under: uncultured Vibrionaceae bacterium
Lineage: Bacteria; Pseudomonadati; Pseudomonadota; Gammaproteobacteria; Vibrionales; Vibrionaceae
Description: bacterial SSU rRNA
Rfam family: Bacterial small subunit ribosomal RNA
Source: RNAcentral